AGGACGAACGCUGGCGGCGUGCCUAACACGAUGCAAGUCGAGCGGGGACAUGCGACGGAUUGAAGAUUCGGUUGGAGAUGAAGAUGUAUGUUCUAGCGGCGGACGGGUGAGUAACGCGUGAGCAACCUGUCCCUUACAGGGGGAUAACACAGCGAAAGUUGUACUAAUACCGCAUAAGACCACGAUGGGACAUCCCAUAGGGGGUCAAAGGAGAAAUCCGGUAAGGGGUGGGCUCGCGUCCGAUUAGAUAGUUGGUGAGGUAACGGCCCACCAAGUCGACGAUCGGUAGCCGACCUGAGAGGGUGAUCGGCCACAUUGGGACUGAGACACGGCCCAAACUCCUACGGGAGGCAGCAGUGGGGAAUAUUGGGCAAAUGGGGGAAACCCUGACCCAGCAACGCCGCGUGAGGGAAGAAGGUUUUCGGAUCGUAAACCUCUGUCCUUGGUGAAGAGGAAGAGACGGUAGCCAAGGAGGAAGCCCCGGCUAACUACGUGCCAGCCGCGGC
Molecule: ribosomal RNA, 506 nt
Filed under: uncultured bacterium
Lineage: Bacteria
Description: bacterial SSU rRNA
Rfam family: Bacterial small subunit ribosomal RNA
Source: RNAcentral